AAAGUGGCGAACGGCUGAGUAACACGUGGGCAACCUGCCCUUUGCACUGGGAUAGCCUCGGGAAACCGAGGUUAAUACCGGAUACUCCAUAUUUGUCGCAUGGCGAAUAUGGGAAAGCUCCGGCGGCAAAGGAUGGGCCCGCGGCCUGUUAGCUAGUUGGUGGGGUAGUGGCCUACCGAGGCAAUGAUGGGUAGCCGGGUUGAGAGACCGACCGGCCAGAUUGGGACUGAGACACGGCCCAGACUCCUACGGGAGGCAGCAGCC
This 264-nucleotide ribosomal RNA is filed under the name uncultured Atopobium sp. Its description in RNAcentral is "partial 16S ribosomal RNA". It matches the Rfam family "Bacterial small subunit ribosomal RNA", at positions 92 to 355 of the family's 1533-position model. Lineage: Bacteria; Bacillati; Actinomycetota; Coriobacteriia; Coriobacteriales; Atopobiaceae. The record is from RNAcentral.